RNAcentral lists this ribosomal RNA (497 nucleotides) under uncultured bacterium. RNAcentral's name for it is "partial 16S ribosomal RNA". It matches the Rfam family "Bacterial small subunit ribosomal RNA", at positions 28 to 507 of the family's 1533-position model. The record is from RNAcentral.
GAUGAACGCUGGCGGCGUGCCUAACACAUGCAAGUCGAGCGAACAGACGCGGAGCUUGCUUCUCUGACGUUAGCGGCGGACGGGUGAGUAACACGUGGAUAACCUACCUAUCAGACUGGGAUCACUUCGGGAAACCGGCGCUAAUACCGGAUGAUCUCUUGAACCGCGUGGUUCAAUAGUAAAAGACGGCCUUGCUGUAACUUAUCGAUGGUUCCGCGCUGCAUUAGCUAGUUGGUAAGGUAACGGCUUACCAAGGCAACGAUGCCUGUCCGAGCUGAGAGAGGGAUCGGCCACACUGGAACGGAGACACGGUCCAGACUCCUACGGGAGGCAGCAGUAGGGAAUCUUCCGCAAUGGGCGAAAGCCUGACGGAGCAACGCCGCGUGAGUUAUGAAGGUCUUCGGAUCGUAAAACUCUGUUAUUAGGGAAGAACAGAUGUGUAAGUAACUGUGCACAGCUUGACGGUACCUAAUCAGAAAGCCACGGCUAACUACGUG